UCGCGCUUCUCUCUCGCAGUCUCCUCCUCCCAAACCGCGAGCGAAAAGGGCGAGG
Molecule: microRNA precursor, 55 nt
Filed under: Macaca mulatta (Rhesus monkey)
Lineage: Eukaryota; Metazoa; Chordata; Mammalia; Primates; Cercopithecidae
Description: Mml-Novel-11_pre stem-loop
Source: RNAcentral